CUGUGAUACUUCGGCGACGCUUUUCUCAGACUGCAGGGCGAGGUUCCACACCGAUGGGGAAGUAAAAUGAUUCAAGUUCCAGGUAGCUGCUGAAGGCUGUCCCUCUAGCUCUUUGCUAACCCUGUGAGAAGAAUAUACCAUGGCUUCCUACUGGCUUCAAGAGGAGAAUGAAGAACUUGUAAAGCAGAACCUCCCCGGCAAACCCAAGGAUGAGGGAAGCCCUAUGGAAUGGUGGCAGUGCAUCAAAGACACCCAAUAAAUGUGAAUUGAUUGAAAGGAUCCUGGCGCACAGGAGAGGUUAUAUGAGGGCUAUGGUCAUCCAAGGCUCAGCUGGAUCUUGCUGGGCUCUGCUAAGCUGUGUAUAGCUUCUCAGGCCAGAUCAAAGAGAUACAGGAAAGGUGGAACCAUUCUCUGGGAUGUGCUUAUUAUAAAAAGCAGACCACAUGGCCAGGACAUUUAGCACAACUUUUGAAGAUUCUGCUUGGAUGAAGCACAUAAUUGACUCACUCACUAUAUUUGCCAGGAUAAGUCACAUGGACAAGAUUCACAAUGGAAUGAGGAAUCACAGUACAACUGCAGGUUUCAUGUUGUGAAGAAAUGACUCAGGGACCAUGUUGGUAAUGAAAGACAGAAGGUAAAGGCCCUGUUCCAGUACUGCUCAGUGGCAUCAGAAAUGCCUCCAGAUAUCGCCAAACAUCCUGUGGGAGUAAAAUUUCCCCUGUUGAGCACCACUGGUUUAAUAAGAAGCAACAAUAGAGGAUGGAAGAGGGGGAGAAAGAGAAGUGAUCUGGGUACCUAAAGGUACCUCAGCCCGGGGCAGGUCUAGAGCUUCUGUUUCCAUGUCUGUAAAACGGCGUCGAGAGCUGAGACUAUGGCUGAGAAGAGACCAGCAGGACAGUGUCUAUCACUGUUCUCUUCCUCCCAACCUCCCGCAGCUGCUGGACUCCCUCAAGUGCUCUGAGAAGCUCUAAGAGAUUGGUUGAAUAUGCGUUUCCAAGGGUCUAUAUCACCUCUCCUUGAACCUGGGCAAUCUUAUGACUUCUUCAACCAAUAUAAUAUAGUGCAUGAGCUCAUGAAAGACCAUACAGCUUCAUCUUGUUAUCUGGAACAUGCCUUCUUGGAGCACUGAGUCAUCAUGUAAGAUGACCUACUACCCUGAGGUUGCCAUAAGGAAGCCCAUGUUACAUGGAAAAGCCACAUAAAGACAUUCUGGUUGACAGCUCCAGCUAAAACCAAAUCUGAGCCAUCCUAGGCUGGCACACGAUAAAUAAGUGAAAUUGCAUCCAGAUGACGCCAGUCUCCAGCCAGUCAAGUUACUUCAACCAUUGCAGUCUUCUCAUCUCUGACCUCAGACAUCAAGGAGACAAGUCAUCCAACCUGUGCACGUCUGAAAUGUCCAACCCAUAAAGUUGUAAGCAUAAUAAAGUGAUAACUGUUUUAUGUUA
Molecule: long non-coding RNA, 1445 nt
Organism: Phacochoerus africanus (Common warthog)
Lineage: Eukaryota; Metazoa; Chordata; Mammalia; Artiodactyla; Suidae
Exons: 8
Source: RefSeq, a predicted model, not a curated record